Molecule: ribosomal RNA, 251 nt
Filed under: uncultured bacterium
Lineage: Bacteria
Description: partial 16S ribosomal RNA
Rfam family: Bacterial small subunit ribosomal RNA
Source: RNAcentral
UACGUAGGUGGCAAGCGUUGUCCGGAAUUAUUGGGCGUAAAGCGCGCGCAGGUGGUUUCUUAAGUCUGAUGUGAAAGCCCACGGCUCAACCGUGGAGGGUCAUUGGAAACUGGGGAACUGAGUGCAGAAGAGGAAAGUGGAAUUCCAAGUGUAGCGGUGAAAUGCGUAGAGAUUUGGGAGGAACACCAGUGGCGAAGGCGCUUUCUGGUCUGUAACUGACGCUGAGGCGCGAAAGCGUGGGGAGCAACAGG